Molecule: RNA transcript, 1770 nt
Organism: Magnolia sinica
Lineage: Eukaryota; Viridiplantae; Streptophyta; Magnoliopsida; Magnoliales; Magnoliaceae
Exons: 11
Source: RefSeq, a predicted model, not a curated record
AAUCCAAUGGUCCUGUUUCAACAAAUAAGUGCCUGCAAAACAGAGGUUAGGAUUGUUCAAAAAACCUGAUCACGAGCCUCAGAGACAGCUAAAUUUACAAUAUAAUCGGUUUUAUUUGAGUUAAUAUAUGCCACGUAUACAAUUUCCAGGUGCAUGCGUAUCAAGCGUCAUACGAAGCCCGAGCAUCAUAUAUCUCCUAAAAAAAUAAAAAUAAAAAUCCAAGCGUUUCUCUCUUCCUCCCCCCAAAACCCAUCGUCUUCUGUCUAUCUCACCAAUUCCCAUUUCUCAUGUCUUUGAUAAUUCCAUCAGCAUCUGUUCUUCUUCCAUGGGCAUGGAAGCUUCCAGAACUCCCAUUCCGAUCUCAUCUCCACCGUCCGUAUCGACACUUCAUCUCCCGCAGCUUCUCCAAUGGAGCAAAGAGAUUUCCAAGUCCACUCCUCAGGAGAGAAAUUCCCAGGCUUCGAUGCUCCGAAUCCACCGAAAGUUCUUCUGAUGAAAGCGCAUCAGAAAAGAAAUUGGAGAUCAAGCAAUGGGAAUUUCUCCAAUCAUGGGAUGUUCCAUGGGAUUGGAAGGUUACUUUAUAUGUGAUGUUGCCAUACUUGCUGAGCAUUGUUUUCGCAGGGAUUGCCGGAACAACAGGAUUUACAAGAGCACUGCAACCUGAUUUUCAAAAUCUGCAGCCUCACUUACAGAACCCUGAUGAAGUCUCGAUGCGAUUGUUUAUUGAUCAAUUACUGAAAACAGUGGCCAAGCUUUCAAUUUUGUAUGUGCUUGUCAGUCCUUAUCGACCAUUACCGGAUGAUGUCUUCUCUUACAGAUGGGGCCAACCAUUUAAUCUUCAGCGUGGUUGGAUUGUAUGGAGUGGUGGGGGUUUAAUAAUUGCUUCAAGUGCUGUUUAUCUCGUGAAGGCUUUCAUAUCUGGUUCAAGUGCUGGCCAGAUGCAAAAUGAGGCAGAGUCUUUAGUGCGCUUGUUGCCGCUUUUUGGCCAAUCAAACACCAGCACUGUUUUUCUACUUGGCAUCUUAGGAGUUCUUGCACCAGUUUGUGAAGAAACAAUUUAUCGAGGUUUUCUGAUGACAUCUCUGACAAAAUGGUUACCUAUGCCCGCAUCAGUGGUUGUAAGUUCUGCUGUUUUUACUCUUGCACAUCAAUCUCCUGGGAAAUUUUUAGAGAUAUUCAUCUUUGGAAUGGUAUUGGGACUAGUGUAUGCUAAGACGCGGAACCUUCUCACUCCAAUAACCAUGCAUGCAUGCUGGAACUUGGGCGUUGUCCUCACGCUUACUUUUCUUCAAGGGCAAGGGUACGAAAUCCAAAAAUAUAUCCUAUGAUUGAAGAAGGUGCUGAUGCAGCAGCAAGUCUCCCGUUCUCGCAUUCUAUAUUCUUCAAGUCUUCAUCUCUGCCUGACCUUCCAUCUUUCGAACAAAAGCAUGCUCUCUAUCUGAUCUAUAUGAACAGAGGAAAAUCCAAGUAAUUCUCAAUCCAUGCUGACAGUAAUGGAUAUCUCGCCUCAACGAUUAUCUUCUGAUCAAUGAUUUCUUCAAGGACUUUGACCAUGUUUGCCAUCCAGCCGAGCAAAAUAUCUGCAAAUCCAAUCGUUGCCCCGCUGAAAAAUUUCUUUCCGAUGAGCGCCUCUUCUAAGGGUUUCAGGCUCUCUAUGGCUGGAGCAAUUGCUUCUUCUCGUUCCUUCCCUUGGGUGAUAAAAACUUGCCAAAUGGCUGCCAAACACUGUAAUAUAACAUGAUGUUAAAAACAUGGUAAGAAUUAUUAUUA